RNAcentral lists this ribosomal RNA (439 nucleotides) under uncultured bacterium. Its description in RNAcentral is "partial 16S ribosomal RNA". It matches the Rfam family "Bacterial small subunit ribosomal RNA", at positions 339 to 795 of the family's 1533-position model. The record is from RNAcentral.
CUACGGGAGGCACCAGUGGGGAAUAUUGGACAAUGGAGGCAACUCUGAUCCAGCAAUUCCGCGUGAAUGAUGAAGGUCUUCGGAUUGUAAAUUCUUUUAGUUGGGAAGAUAGUGACGGUACCAACAGAAAAAGCACCGGCGUAAUUACGUGCCAGCAGCCGCGGUAAGACGUAAGGUGCAAGCGUUAUCCGGAAUUACUAAGCGUAAAGGGCAUCUAGGCGGCUAAUUAAGUCAGAGGUGAAAAGUCAGGGCUCAACCUUGGCCUUGCCUUUGAUACUGGUAAGCUAGAGUACGGGAGAGGAGGGCGGAACUACAAGUGUAGCGGUGAAAUGCGUAGAUAUUUGUAGGAAUGCCAAUGACGAAGGUAGCUCUCUGGACCGAUACUGACGCUAAAGUGCGAAAGCUAGGGGAGCAAACAGGAUUAGAUACCCCGGUAGUC